This 386-nucleotide ribosomal RNA is filed under the name uncultured bacterium. RNAcentral describes it as "bacterial SSU rRNA". It matches the Rfam family "Bacterial small subunit ribosomal RNA", at positions 30 to 419 of the family's 1533-position model. The record is from RNAcentral.
AUUGAACGCUGGCGGCAUGCCUUACACAUGCAAGUCGAACGGCAGCACGGGGGCAACCCUGGUGGCGAGUGGCGAACGGGUGAGUAAUAUAUCGGAACGUGCCCUAGAGUGGGGGAGUAACGUAGCGAAAGUUACGCUAAUACCGCAUACGAUCUAUGGAUGAAAGUGGGGGAUCGCAAGACCUCAUGCUCGUGGAGCGGCCGAUAUCUGAUUAGCAGUUGGUAGGGUAAAGCCUACCAAGGCAUCGAUCAGUAGCUGGUUUGAGAGAACGACCAGCCACACUGGGACUGAGACACGGCCCAGACUCCUACGGGAGGCAGCAGUGGGAAUUUUGGACAAUGGGGCAACCCUGAUCCAGCAAUGCCGCGUGAGUGAAGAAGGCCUUC